UUCAGAGGGGGCAAGCGUUGUUCGGAAUUACUGGGCGUAAAGGGUGCGCAGGCGGCGUCGCAAGUCAGGCGUGAAAUCCCCGGGCUUAACCUGGGAACUGCACUUGAAACUACGAUGCUGGAGUAUGGCAGAGGGAGGUGGAAUUCCACGUGUAGCGGUGAAAUGCGUAGAGAUGUGGAGGAACACCGAUGGCGAAGGCAGCCUCCUGGGCCAAUACUGACGCUCAUGCACGAAAGCGUGGGGAGCAAACAGG
This 253-nucleotide ribosomal RNA is filed under the name uncultured bacterium. Its description in RNAcentral is "partial 16S ribosomal RNA". It matches the Rfam family "Bacterial small subunit ribosomal RNA", at positions 524 to 776 of the family's 1533-position model. The record is from RNAcentral.